CAAGGUUGUUCCAACAAGUCCGAUACAGUCAUGAUAUAACAAUAUUGUUACAACCUUGUGUCGUCAACCUUGUAACAUUCUUGUCAUAUCAUGACUGUAUCAGACUUGUUAGAAAAACCUUG
This 122-nucleotide microRNA precursor is filed under the name Paramuricea clavata. Lineage: Eukaryota; Metazoa; Cnidaria; Anthozoa; Malacalcyonacea; Plexauridae. The record is from RNAcentral.